RNAcentral lists this transfer RNA (90 nucleotides) under Bacteroidetes bacterium CG12_big_fil_rev_8_21_14_0_65_60_17. RNAcentral's name for it is "tRNA-Ser". It matches the Rfam family "tRNA". From Rfam's summary of the family: Transfer RNA (tRNA) molecules are approximately 80 nucleotides in length. Their secondary structure includes four short double-helical elements and three loops (D, anti-codon, and T loops). The record is from RNAcentral. Lineage: Bacteria; Pseudomonadati; Bacteroidota.
GGAGGGGUGGCAGAGCGGUUGAAUGCACCGGUCUUGAAAACCGGCAUACCUUCACGGGUAUCGAGGGUUCGAAUCCCUCCCCCUCCGCAA